RNAcentral lists this ribosomal RNA (726 nucleotides) under Cheumatopsyche sp. XG-2022. Its description in RNAcentral is "12S ribosomal RNA". Lineage: Eukaryota; Metazoa; Arthropoda; Insecta; Trichoptera; Hydropsychidae. The record is from RNAcentral.
AAAAUUAAAUAAAUUUUUAAAAAUUAAUAAUUAAUUUUUAUUUAAAUUAAAUAAAUUUAAAAUAAGUAAUAUUAAUAAAUUAUUAAUUAAGAUUGUGCCAGCAAUUGCGGUUAAACAAUUAAUAAAAAAUAAAUAUUUUUAAAUUAAAUUUUAAUAAUUAUAAUAAUUAAAUUUAAAAAUUUAAUUUUAUUUGGUAAAAUAAUAAAAUUUAUAAUAAAAAUUUAUUUAAUUAAAAUAAAAUUUAAAAAUUUAAUUUUAAAACUAGGAUUAGAUACCCUAUUAUAUAAAUAAAAAUUUUAAUUAAUUUAAUUAGUAAAAAAAAAAUGAAAAUUAAAGAAUUUGACGGUAUUUAAAUCAUUUUAGAGGAAUUUGUAUAAUAAUUGAUAAUCCACAAUUUAUUAAACUUAUUUUGAAAAAUUUGUAUAUCGUUGUUAUAAAAAUAUUUUUUAUAAAUUCAUAAAUAUUUAAAUAUUUAAAUUUAUAUAUAUAUCAAAUCAAGAUACAAUUUAAAUAAAUAAGAAAUUUAUGAAUUACAUUAAUUUUAAAAAUUAUAAUUUAUAUUUGAAAAAAAGAAAUUUAAAUUGGAUUUAAUUGUAAUUUAAAAUAUUUAUUUUAAAUGAUUAUUGUUUUUAAAUAUGUACAUAUUGCCCGUCACUCUUAUUAGUUAUAUUAAUUUAUUAAUUAAGAUAAGUCGUAACAAAGUAGAAAUAUUGGAAAAUGUUUCUA